This 510-nucleotide ribosomal RNA is filed under the name uncultured bacterium. RNAcentral's name for it is "partial 16S ribosomal RNA". It matches the Rfam family "Bacterial small subunit ribosomal RNA", at positions 28 to 507 of the family's 1533-position model. The record is from RNAcentral.
GACGAACGCUGGCGGCGUGCUUAACACAUGCAAGUCGAACGAAGAGCGAUGGCAUCUUGCUUCUAUCAAUCUUAGUGGCGAGCGGGUGAGUAACGCGUAAUCAACCUUCCCUUCAGAGGGGGACAACAGUUGGUAACGACUGCUACUACCGCAUACGACCUAAUCUCGGCAUCGAGGAUAGAUGAACGGCGGCCUCUACAUGUCAGCUAUCAUUGCAGGAGGGGAGUGCGUCUGAUUCGGUAGGUGGCGGGGUAGCGGCGCACCAAGGCGAUGAUCAGUAGCAGGUCUGAGAGGAUGAACAGCCACCUUGGGACUGUGACACGGCACAGACUCCUACGGGAGGCAGCAGUGGGGAAUCUUGCGGAAUGGACGGAAGACUGACGGAGCAGCGCCGAGUGAGGAAUGAGGGCCUUCGGGUUGGAAAGCACGGUUAAUCGGGACGAAAGGCCUUCUUGCGAAUAGUGAGAAGGAUUGACGGUACCGGAAUAGAAAGCAACGGCUAACUACGUG